This 468-nucleotide ribosomal RNA is filed under the name uncultured bacterium. RNAcentral describes it as "partial 16S ribosomal RNA". It matches the Rfam family "Bacterial small subunit ribosomal RNA", at positions 28 to 507 of the family's 1533-position model. The record is from RNAcentral.
GACGAACGCUGGCGGCGUGCUUAACACAUGCAAGUCGAACGGAAAGGCCCUGCUUUUGUGGGGUGCUCGAGUGGCGAACGGGUGAGUAACACGUGAGUAACCUGCCCUUGACUUUGGGAUAACUUCAGGAAACUGGGGCUAAUACCGGAUAGGAGCUCCUGCUGCAUGGUGGGGGUUGGAAAGUUUCGGCGGUUGGGGAUGGACUCGCGGCUUAUCAGCUUGUUGGUGGGGUAGUGGCUUACCAAGGCUUUGACGGGUAGCCGGCCUGAGAGGGUGACCGGCCACAUUGGGACUGAGGUACGGCCCAGACUCCUACGGGAGGCAGCAGUGGGGAAUAUUGCACAAUGGGCGGAAGCCUGAUGCAGCAACGCCGCGUGCGGGAUGACGGCCUUCGGGUUGUAAACCGCUUUCGCCUGUGACGAAGCGUGAGUGACGGUAAUGGGUAAAGAAGCACCGACUAACUACGUG